GGAGGCCUGCUCACCAUACACUGUAUUCUUAUGCUGUCAGUAGAUAGAGAGGAGACAGAGCAAACCGGCUCUCUAUACAGCUUAGCCCAGGCCAUUGUGCCUGAUCUGUAUUAUGAACGGGGAUACAUGG
Apodemus sylvaticus (European woodmouse) is the source of this 130-nucleotide small nucleolar RNA. RefSeq annotates it as small nucleolar RNA SNORA51. Lineage: Eukaryota; Metazoa; Chordata; Mammalia; Rodentia; Muridae. The transcript has a single exon. The record is from RefSeq and is a predicted model, not a curated record.